Archocentrus centrarchus (flier cichlid) is the source of this 1171-nucleotide long non-coding RNA. RefSeq lists it as uncharacterized. The transcript is spliced from 2 exons. NCBI's taxonomy places the organism in Eukaryota, Metazoa, Chordata, Actinopteri, Cichliformes, Cichlidae. The record is from RefSeq and is a predicted model, not a curated record.
UACUUUUUUUCUCUUCCUUUUGAGCUCUGAAACUCUCCAUAAAGUUUUCCCUUUUGUCUUUCACCCGCUUUUCCAGCUCCCUAUCCUGGACUGUUUUCAGCAGCUCAUGGACCUGCUCCGUGUCCUGACGCUGACGAUUAUUGAUGACAUGGUAUCGCCCUCCACAACACUCAAUUAUCCGCCUCAGGCCUGGGUGUUCUUUUUGCAGGUAUUCCUGUGGGAAAACAACGUGGCUUGUGUGAAUUCAGACCUGCAAUUAUUUGCAUCUUGUCUGUUGUUAUAGUACAAGAAUAACAUAACCACCUUAUAAUAUAGCCCCUUAUGUCAUACCGACAGUAUGUUCACAUAAUCCAACCUGAUAGAUUUUGACACACUCAAAUAAGGGGGCAAGUCAAACAAUAAAAGGCAAAAUGAUUUGCUAAAAGAGAAAGUAGGUGUACACCUCUCAUACCUCCACUGUUCUUCCCAUCAAGUAAUCCCCGCAGGUCAGCAUGACCAUAGUGUGGUCCAGCACUUCUUGUCCAAACAAUUCCACCAAUUCUGCAGGGACACGUCCCUCCAUCUGGGUGGGAAAAAGGGAAAGAGUUAAAAAAAUGAAAAAUCUAAAUCUGAUCUAAAUUUAAUGUUUGAUAUGAAACUGUUUUAAAAAAAUCUACAAGUUGUGUACGAUUGUACAGAUUUUUUCCAUAGUUGUGUGAUUGACAUUUUCAUAUUGAGUACAUAUUACAGAACGUGACUUCAACAAAGUUAAGUAACUGAUGACAUCACUGAGGGGCAAGCCAAGACUAACCUCUGUGAAUUGGCCAACAGGCACCAGGAGCAAAACAGCAUGUGGGCCUGGUGGUACCAGAGUCAUUGCUCGCUGUGUCUCCUUUCUGACACUGUCCUCCAUCUUGUCACCAUUCCAGUAACAUCUUGGUGCCUCCACCAGGGUCACAUUCCUGCCUUCAGUGAAGCCCUGUCGCAGCUGGCAGCUCCUGGAAGCGCUGGGAGAAAUGGGGGACAGCUGGCCCAGGAUAGUGUCUGCUGAUGAGGUUUUUCCACAUCCAAUAUUCCCCAAAAGGAGCAACCUCAGGUCUGAGGCCGAGGACCCAUCGUAGUGCUCUCUGUAGUGUUCACCCAUCCCUUGUGUGAAAGAAGGAAACCGGAAGCAGUCCAAAAAAAAAAAAAA